This 1167-nucleotide ribosomal RNA is filed under the name Klebsiella aerogenes. RNAcentral describes it as "bacterial SSU rRNA". It matches the Rfam family "Bacterial small subunit ribosomal RNA", at positions 58 to 1428 of the family's 1533-position model. The record is from RNAcentral. Lineage: Bacteria; Pseudomonadati; Pseudomonadota; Gammaproteobacteria; Enterobacterales; Enterobacteriaceae.
CAAGUCGAGCGGUAACACAGAGAGCUUGCUCUCGGGUGACGAGCGGCGGACGGGUGAGUAAUGUCUGGGAAACUGCCUGAUGGAGGGGGAUAACUACUGGAAACGGUAGCUAAUACCGCAUAACGUCGCAUGACCAAAGAGGGGGACCUUCGGGCCUCUUGCCAUCAAAUGUGCCCAGAUGGGAUUAGCUAGUAUGUGGGGUAACGGCUCACCUAGGCGACAAUCCCUAGCUGGUCUGAGAGGAUGACCAGCCACACUGGAACUGAGACACGGUCCAGACUCCUACGGGAGGCAGCAGUGGGGAAUAUUGCACAAUGGGCGCAAGCCUGAUGCAUCCCUGCCCGCGUGUAUCAAGAACGCCUUCGGGUUGUAAAGUACUUUCAGCGAGGAGGAAGGCGUUAAGGUUAAUAACCUUAGCGAUUGACGUUACUCGCAUAAGAAGCACCGGCUAACUCCGUGCCAGCAGCCGCGGUAAUACAGAGGGUGCCAGGUGCGAAAGCGUGGGGAGCAAACAGGAUUAGAUACCCUGGUAGUCCACGCCGUAAACGAUGUCGACUUGGAGGUUGUGCCCUUGAGGCGUGGCUUCCGGAGCUAACGCGUUAAGUCGACCGCCUGGGGAGUACGGCCGCAAGGUUAAAACUCAAAUGAAUUGACGGGGGCCCGCACAAGCGGUGGAGCAUGUGGUUUAAUUCGAUGCAACGCGAAGAACCUUACCUACUCUUGACAUCCAGAGAACUUAGCAGAGAUGCUUUGGUGCCUUCGGGAACUCUGAGACAGGUGCUGCAUGGCUGUCGUCAGCUCGUGUUGUGAAAUGUUGGGUUAAGUCCCGCAACGAGCGCAACCCUUAUCCUUUGUUGCCAGCGGUCCGGCCGGGAACUCAAAGGAGACUGCCAGUGAUAAACUGGAGGAAGGUGGGGAUGACGUCAAGUCAUCAUGGCCCUUACGAGUAGGGCUACACACGUGCUACAAUGGCAUAUACAAAGAGAAGCGACCUCGCGAGAGCAAGCGGACCUCAUAAAGUAUGUCGUAGUCCGGAUUGGAGUCUGCAACUCGACUCCAUGAAGUCGGAAUCGCUAGUAAUCGUAGAUCAGAAUGCUACGGUGAAUACGUUCCCGGGCCUUGUACACACCGCCCGUCACACCAUGGGAGUGGGUUGCAAAAGAAGUA